AUUGAACGCUGGCGGUAGGCCUAACACAUGCAAGUCGAACGGCAGCACAGUAAGAGCUUGCUCUUACGGGUGGCGAGUGGCGGACGGGUGAGGAAUACAUCGGAAUCUACUUUUUCGUGGGGGAUAACGUAGGGAAACUUACGCUAAUACCGCAUACGACCUACGGGUGAAAGCAGGGGAUCUUCCGACCUUGCGCGAUUGAAUGAGCCGAUGUCGGAUUAGCUAGUUGGCGGGGUAAAGGCCCACCAAGGCGACGAUCCGUAGCUGGUCUGAGAGGAUGAUCAGUCACACUGGAACUGAGACACGGUCCAGACUCCUACGGGAGGCAGCAGUGGGGAAUAUUGGACAAUGGGCGCAAGCCUGAUCCAGCCAUACCGCGUGGGUGAAGAAGGCCUUCGGGUUGUAAAGCCCUUUUGUUGGGAAAGAAAAGCAGCAGGUUAAUACCCCGCUGUUCUGACGGUACCAAAAGAAUAAGCACCGGCUAACUUCGUG
Molecule: ribosomal RNA, 492 nt
Filed under: uncultured bacterium
Lineage: Bacteria
Description: partial 16S ribosomal RNA
Rfam family: Bacterial small subunit ribosomal RNA
Source: RNAcentral